RNAcentral lists this ribosomal RNA (497 nucleotides) under Colletotrichum cf. gloeosporioides ROG-2010. RNAcentral describes it as "eukaryotic LSU rRNA". The stretch from base 177 to 330 matches the Rfam family "5.8S ribosomal RNA". Lineage: Eukaryota; Fungi; Ascomycota; Sordariomycetes; Glomerellales; Glomerellaceae. The record is from RNAcentral.
CAUUACUGAGUUUACGCUCUAUAACCCUUUGUGAACAUACCUAUAACUGUUGCUUCGGCGGGUAGGGUCUCCGCGACCCUCCCGGCCCCCCGCCUCCGGGCGGGUCGGCGCCCGCCGGAGGAUAACCAAACUCUGAUUUAACGACGUUUCUUCUGAGUGGUACAAGCAAAUAAUCAAAACUUUAACAACGGAUCUCUUGGUUCUGGCAUCGAUGAAGAACGCAGCGAAAUGCGAUAAGUAAUGUGAAUUGCAGAAUUCAGUGAAUCAUCGAAUCUUUGAACGCACAUUGCGCCCGCCAGCAUUCUGGCGGGCAUGCCUGUUCGAGCGUCAUUUCAACCCUCAAGCUCUGCUUGGUGUUGGGGCCCUACAGCUGAUGUAGGCCCUCAAAGGUAGUGGCGGACCCUCCCGGAGCCUCCUUUGCGUAGUAACUUUACGUCUCGCACUGGGAUCCGGAGGGACUCUUGCCGUAAAACCCCCCAAUUUUCCAAAGGUUGACC